GACGAACGCUGGCGGCGUGCCUAAUACAUGCAAGUCGAACGCUUCUUUCCUCCCGAGUGCUUGCACUCAAUUGGAAAGAGGAGUGGCGGACGGGUGAGUAACACGUGGGUAACCUACCCAUCAGAGGGGGAUAACACUUGGAAACAGGUGCUAAUACCGCAUAACAGUUUAUGCCGCAUGGCAUAAGAGUGAAAGGCGCUUUCGGGUGUCGCUGAUGGAUGGACCCGCGGUGCAUUAGCUAGUUGGUGAGGUAACGGCUCACCAAGGCCACGAUGCAUAGCCGACCUGAGAGGGUGAUCGGCCACACUGGGACUGUGACACGGCCCAGACUCCUACGGGAGGCAGCAGUAGGGAAUCUUCGGCAAUGGACGAAAGUCUGACCGAGCAACGCCGCGUGAGUGAAGAAGGUUUUCGGAUCGUAAAACUCUGUUGUUAGAGAAGAACAAGGACGUUAGUAACUGAACGUCCCCUGACGGUAUCUAACCAGAAAGCCACGGCUAACUACGUG
RNAcentral lists this ribosomal RNA (508 nucleotides) under uncultured bacterium. RNAcentral describes it as "partial 16S ribosomal RNA". It matches the Rfam family "Bacterial small subunit ribosomal RNA", at positions 28 to 507 of the family's 1533-position model. The record is from RNAcentral.